Suncus etruscus (white-toothed pygmy shrew) is the source of this 404-nucleotide non-coding RNA. RefSeq annotates it as small Cajal body-specific RNA 2. The record is from RefSeq and is a predicted model, not a curated record. The transcript has a single exon. Lineage: Eukaryota; Metazoa; Chordata; Mammalia; Eulipotyphla; Soricidae.
AUUGAUUUAUAUUAAAAAAUACAUAAAAUAGGGGGCAGUGUGGCCUGGGGUGUUAUUAGUGUGUGAGCAUGAGCUAGAGUAUGCAAGGUAAAUGUGUGCGCCCACCCAAGUGCCCCUCCCCUGCCUACACUUUGAUCUUAUUUGAUCUGGUCUAACCCCAAUCCUCAGCCCCACCAGGGUCAACACAAGAUGAGAUAAACCUCCCUCCUGCUUAACCCUCCUACUUGUGCCCUGUGGAAUUAGUCCUUCCCAGAAGCAGCACCAUCACCUGAGGCCUAGUUCAGUCUCUACCUAGAGUUGGUUCCCAGAAGUCCAGUGCUCAGAUGUGAUGAAUUGAUCAGAUAAGGGAGGACCAGAGGUUCGCCUCCCUGGUCACUGAUUUAUCAAAGGCAAUUCUGAUCUGA